CCCUUAGAUGUUCUGGGCCGCACGCGCGCUACACUGAUGCAUUCAACGAGCCUAUCCUUGACCGACAGGUCCGGGUAAUCUUUGAAUCUGCAUCGUGACGGGGAUAGAUUAUUGUAAUUAUUAAUCUUCAACGAGGAAUGCCUAGUAAACGCAAGUCAUCAGCUUGCAUUGAUUACGUCCCUGCCCUUUGUACACACCGCCCGUCGCACCUACCGAUUGAAUGGUCCGGUGAAAUCUCCGGACUGGCGUGAGUCGGAGCAAUCUGACAAACGCCGGAAAGUUGAUUAAACCUUACCAUUUAGAGGAAGGUGAAGUCGUAACA
Molecule: ribosomal RNA, 322 nt
Filed under: uncultured eukaryote
Lineage: Eukaryota
Description: partial 18S ribosomal RNA
Rfam family: Eukaryotic small subunit ribosomal RNA
Source: RNAcentral